UAGUCCACGCUGUAAACGAUGGAUACUAGGUGUUGGCUUUUUGUCAGCGCCGCAGCUAACGCAUUAAGUAUCCCGCCUGGGGAGUACGACCGCAAGGUUGAAACUCAAAGGAAUUGACGGGGGCCCGCACAAGCGGUGGAGCAUGUGGUUUAAUUCGAUGCAACGCGAAGAACCUUACCUGGGCUUGAACCGCAGCAGGCAUCCCCUGAAAAGGGGCUUUUCUUCGGAACUGCUGUAGAGGUGCUGCAUGGCUGUCGUCAGCUCGUGCCGUGAGGUGUUGGGUUAAGUCCCGCAACGAGCGCAGCCCUUGCCCUUAGUUGCCAUCAGGUUAUGCUGGGAACUCUAAGGGGACUGCCCCGGAUAACGGGGAGGAAGGUGGGGAUGACGUCAAGUCCUCAUGGCCCCUACGUCCAGGGCUACACACGUG
RNAcentral lists this ribosomal RNA (427 nucleotides) under uncultured bacterium. RNAcentral's name for it is "bacterial SSU rRNA". It matches the Rfam family "Bacterial small subunit ribosomal RNA", at positions 791 to 1224 of the family's 1533-position model. The record is from RNAcentral.